Molecule: long non-coding RNA, 1228 nt
Organism: Cheilinus undulatus (humphead wrasse)
Lineage: Eukaryota; Metazoa; Chordata; Actinopteri; Labriformes; Labridae
Exons: 6
Source: RefSeq, a predicted model, not a curated record
GAACGCAGCAUGCACGUGCAGCCACUGCUGUCAUAUCAGACCAGGAACGUUGAAACAUUGUGAAAAACGGCCGAGAGACGUCUGUAAAUAAAGGACGGUGCAAACAAGGCAAGCCAAAGUCCAGGAAAAGAGCAGCAGGUCCCAAACAGGAUUCAUUAAACAGGAGUGAAAGUGUCUGAAGGCAGCAGUGCAGCAGAGCAGAGCCCAAGCUGUGCAUGUGUGUAGUUACACACUGAGGAAGAACUGGAGGUACAUGCUGUUUGUUUAUGUGAGAUGAGAAGAAGCUAAGUGGCUACCACAACCAACCAUAUCAGAUCUGCAAGAAUGAUAAAAGCCCCACACAUCAGGAGAUCAAAGGUGGCUGUGACAGGAGCACCCCAGGAUAGGACCCAUGAGGAGUCAUAGAAGAUGCUCACAGUCUGGGCGCUUCAGUUCUUCUUAGAAGAGCAGCUCCACUGGCCUGCUCUCCAUCAGAACAGACAAUCACAUGCACUGGAUCUACAGUAUCUGUAGGUCGAGUCUGUUGGAGGGAGAUAUGCUGACUGACACUUACUGAGAGCUGGAAUUCCCUCAGGACAAGAUGACUGUGUGCCUGCCAGUCCUCUGCCUACCCAUCUCCACUCCCUUGGGUUUAAAAGUCAUACUACAGACACUUCACCAAUGCUGUUUUCAUCUCAAAACUACCCAUCUCAUCAUCAUCAUCAUCAUCAUCAUCAAUGGAACCAUCUCUGUGCUACUGACAUCAAGUUUAAACUGGCUGCCAGUCUGUUGCUCAGCUGCCAUCCUUGAUGACCCGAUGGAGUGCAGCAGAGGGGAGCAUUUGGCCAUCACACUGGCCAAAGACAGCAUAGACAGGAACAGUAACCGCUCUACCACUGGAAAGCUGGAGGUGGACAUCUUUGAACUUGUGAGAGACAGUGAAUAUGAGAUUUGGGAAACGAGUAAGUACCACUGGGAUGAAAUCCCAAUUAAUUAGUAAGGAGAGAUUGUUGAUGUGUUUUUAUGUGUUGAAGGCUGUUGGUCAAUGUGUGUGAAAGUGUGCAGUCAGAAAUGUGCAGAGAGUAAUAAAUCUGAUGUUAGGUGCAGACAGUAAUCCCAGCCACAGAAAAGGGUCUCUUAUUUUAAACCCUGUCUGUCAAGUUAAUCUUGGCUUACUGCCCUCUUUUCACAAAAUUUCUGAAAUACUUUCUCUGGUGUAUAUGGAGAUACAUCUCCUGGGGAUUCUGUA